Molecule: ribosomal RNA, 555 nt
Filed under: uncultured bacterium
Lineage: Bacteria
Description: bacterial SSU rRNA
Rfam family: Bacterial small subunit ribosomal RNA
Source: RNAcentral
GAAAUUCUGGCUAAUACCGCAUACGAUAGUAAUAUGAAAGGGUGCUUCGGCACUCGCUGAAAGAUGGGCCUGCGGGACAUUAGCUUGAUGGUGGGGUAAUGGCCUACCAUGGCUGCGAUGUCUAACUGGUCUGAGAGGAUGAUCAGUCACACUGGAACUGAGACACGGUCCAGACUCCUACGGGAGGCAGCAGUGGGGAAUAUUGCGCAAUGGGGGAAACCCUGACGCAGCAACGCCGCGUGAGUGAGGAAGGCCUUCGGGUUGUAAAGCUCUGUCAGAUGGGAAGAACACUUAGGGGUCCAAUAGGCCCUUGAACUGACGGUACCAUCAAAGGAAGCACCGGCUAACUUCGUGCCAGCAGCCGCGGUAAUACGAAGGGUGCAAGCGUUGUUCGGAUUUACUGGGCGUAAAGCGCGCGCAGGCGGAUAGUUAAGUCAGAUGUGAAAUCUCGGGGCUCAACCCCGAAACUGCGUCUGAAACUGAUUAUCUAGAGUAUCGGAGGGGGGAAGUGGAAUUUCGCAUGUAGGGGUAAAAUCCGUAGAGAUGCGAAGGAAC